This 682-nucleotide ribosomal RNA is filed under the name uncultured Nitrososphaerota archaeon. Its description in RNAcentral is "bacterial SSU rRNA". It matches the Rfam family "Archaeal small subunit ribosomal RNA", at positions 73 to 758 of the family's 1478-position model. The record is from RNAcentral. Lineage: Archaea; Thermoproteati; Nitrososphaerota.
AAUAUGUGGCAUACGGCUCAGUAACACGUAGUCAACAUGCCCAGGGGACGUGGAUAACCUCGGGAAACUGAGGGUAAACCGCGAUAGGUCAUCACUUCUGGAAUGGGUAAUGACUUAAAUCUAUAUGGCCCCUGGAUUGGACUGCGGCCGAUCAGGCUGUUGGUGAGGUAAUGGCCCACCAAACCUGUAACCGGUACGGGCUCUGAGAGAAGGAGCCCGGAGAUGGGCACUGAGACAAGGGCCCAGGCCCUAUGGGGCGCAGCAGGCGCGAAACCUCUGCAAUAGGCGAAAGCUUGACAGGGUUACUCUGAGUGAUUUCCGUUAAGGAGAUCUUUUGGCACCUCUAAAAAUGGUGCAGAAUAAGGGGUGGGCAAGUCUGGUGUCAGCCGCCGCGGUAAUACCAGCACCCCGAGUGGUCGGGACGUUUAUUGGGCCUAAAGCAUCCGUAGCCGGUUCUACAAGUCUUCCGUUAAAUCCACCUGCUUAACAGAUGGGCUGCGGAAGAUACUAUAGAGCUAGGAGGCGGGAGAGGCAAGCGGUACUCGAUGGGUAGGGGUAAAAUCCGUUGAUCCAUUGAAGACCACCAGUGGCGAAGGCGGCUUGCCAGAACGCGCUCGACGGUGAGGGAUGAAAGCUGGGGGAGCAAACCGGAUUAGAUACCCGGGUAGUCCCAGCUGUAAAC